GGGGCAUUAGUUCAGUGGGAGAACGCUUCACUGGCAGUGAAGAGGUCAGCGGUUCGAAUCCGCUAUGCUCCACCA
This 75-nucleotide transfer RNA is filed under the name Paenibacillus thiaminolyticus. RNAcentral describes it as "tRNA-Ala". It matches the Rfam family "tRNA". From Rfam's summary of the family: Transfer RNA (tRNA) molecules are approximately 80 nucleotides in length. The record is from RNAcentral. Lineage: Bacteria; Bacillati; Bacillota; Bacilli; Caryophanales; Paenibacillaceae. RNAcentral also lists the same sequence under 2 other names.